GGGCCUAUAGCUCAAUUGGCAGAGCACCGGACUCUUAAUCCGUUGGUUCCAGGUUCGAUUCCUGGUGGGCCCACUA
Molecule: transfer RNA, 76 nt
Filed under: Deltaproteobacteria bacterium
Lineage: Bacteria; Pseudomonadati; Myxococcota; Myxococcia
Description: tRNA-Lys
Rfam family: tRNA
About the family: Transfer RNA (tRNA) molecules are approximately 80 nucleotides in length. Their secondary structure includes four short double-helical elements and three loops (D, anti-codon, and T loops). Further hydrogen bonds mediate the characteristic L-shaped molecular structure. tRNAs have two regions of fundamental functional importance: the anti-codon, which is responsible for specific mRNA codon recognition, and the 3' end, to which the tRNAs corresponding amino acid is attached (by aminoacyl-tRNA synthetases). tRNAs cope with the degeneracy of the genetic code in two manners: having more than one tRNA (with a specific anti-codon) for a particular amino acid; and 'wobble' base-pairing, i.e. permitting non-standard base-pairing at the 3rd anti-codon position.
Source: RNAcentral